This 253-nucleotide ribosomal RNA is filed under the name uncultured bacterium. RNAcentral's name for it is "partial 16S ribosomal RNA". It matches the Rfam family "Bacterial small subunit ribosomal RNA", at positions 524 to 776 of the family's 1533-position model. The record is from RNAcentral.
UACGAAGGGUGCAAGCGUUACUCGGAAUUACUGGGCGUAAAGCGUGCGUAGGUGGUUCGUUAAGUCUGAUGUGAAAGCCCUGGGCUCAACCUGGGAAUGGCAUUGGAUACUGGCGACCUAGAGUGCGGUAGAGGGGUGUGGAAUUCCCGGUGUAGCAGUGAAAUGCGUAGAUAUCGGGAGGAACAUCUGUGGCGAAGGCGACACCCUGGACCAGCACUGACACUGAGGCACGAAAGCCAGGGGAGCAAACAGG